AUCUUUACUGAUAUAUAAUCUUUACUGAUAAACAAAAAUUUAAAUAAUCUUUACUGAUUUCUGUAUUAUUGAAAGAUCUUAUUGUAAGGGCAGCAGUGGGGUGGAAAGAUUCAAGAUUAUUACUUUUGUUAAGACCUUGUCUUAUGCAUGUAUAAAUAAUAAUUUUUUUUUUUUAAUCUCUUCCUAAACAAAAUAUGUUCUUAGUGACCCUACUCUAUGGGCUUUCACCAUGUUCAGAACUACGGUGUCUGUGCCUUCCAACAGUGUGUGAAGCAAUCUGUUUUAACAGAAAAGCUGCAAUCACAGUGAGCUUGGAGGAACACAGAAUAAUUGAUUGGAUUAGUAACGGACCUGAAAUACUAGAAGCAAGUCUGAUGGCAAAUUCUUCCAUCACUGAGAAAUCUUCCUCUGACAGAGAGCUACAGUUAUAUGUGAACAUAUGAUUUAAUUGUUUAUAGAAGCAAAAGCAUAACAUGGGAUGUCAUUUGGGAUUUGUUAAAAGGAAGAAUGCAGAGGCAGAAGCUGUUCUAGCCUUAUUGAUACAAUCCAAUGUCAAAACAUAAAUUAGUUGGUGACUGUAAUGGAAUCUAUGUCUUAUACUGGUAUUACAGUAAAUAAUUACAGUAUACUGUAAAAAAUAAAAACAGGGGAAGCCUUACA
Molecule: long non-coding RNA, 660 nt
Filed under: Cyanistes caeruleus (blue tit)
Lineage: Eukaryota; Metazoa; Chordata; Aves; Passeriformes; Paridae
Description: lncRNA (ENSCCEG00000000456.1)
Source: RNAcentral